GGCCCUUUAGCUCAGCGGUUAGAGCGUGCGACUCAUAAUCGCCCGGUCACCGGUUCGAACCCAGCAAGGGCCACCA
RNAcentral lists this transfer RNA (76 nucleotides) under Klebsiella aerogenes. RNAcentral's name for it is "tRNA-Ile". It matches the Rfam family "tRNA". From Rfam's summary of the family: Transfer RNA (tRNA) molecules are approximately 80 nucleotides in length. Lineage: Bacteria; Pseudomonadati; Pseudomonadota; Gammaproteobacteria; Enterobacterales; Enterobacteriaceae. The record is from RNAcentral.